Molecule: ribosomal RNA, 172 nt
Filed under: uncultured Sphingomonas sp.
Lineage: Bacteria; Pseudomonadati; Pseudomonadota; Alphaproteobacteria; Sphingomonadales; Sphingomonadaceae
Description: partial 16S ribosomal RNA
Rfam family: Bacterial small subunit ribosomal RNA
Source: RNAcentral
ACUCCUACGGGAGGCAGCAGUGGGGAAUUUUGGACAAUGGGCGCAAGCCUGAUCCAGCAAUGCCGCGUGAGUGAUGAAGGCCCUAGGGUUGUAAAGCUCUUUCACCCAGGAAGAUAAUGACGGUAACCGGAGAAUAAGCCCCGGCUAACUCCGUGCCAGCAGCCGCGGUAAU